CAGCCGCCGCGGGAAUACAGAGGAUGCAAGCGUUAUCCGGAAUGAUUGGGCGUAAAGCGUCUGUAGGUGGCUUUUCAAGUCCGCCGUCAAAUCCCAGGGCUCAACCCUGGACAGGCGGUGGAAACUACCAAGCUGGAGUACGGUAGGGGCAGAGGGAAUUUCCAGUGGAGCGGUGAAAUGCGUUGAGACCGGAAAGAACACCAACGGCGAAAGCACUAUGCUGGGCCGACACUGACACUGAGAGACGAAAGCUAGGGGAGCAAAUGGGAUUAGAUACCCCUGUAGUCCCUGUCUCUUAUAC
RNAcentral lists this ribosomal RNA (301 nucleotides) under uncultured bacterium. RNAcentral describes it as "partial 16S ribosomal RNA". It matches the Rfam family "Bacterial small subunit ribosomal RNA", at positions 509 to 807 of the family's 1533-position model. The record is from RNAcentral.